UUUAUCGGAGAGUUUGAUCCUGGCUCAGGACGAACGCUGGCGGCGUGCCUAAUACAUGCAAGUCGAGCGGACAGAUGGGAGCUUGCUCCCUGAUGUUAGCGGCGGACGGGUGAGUAACACGUGGGUAACCUGCCUGUAAGACUGGGAUAACUCCGGGAAACCGGGGCUAAUACCGGAUGGUUGUUUGAACCGCAUGGUUCAAACAUAAAAGGUGGCUUCGGCUAC
RNAcentral lists this ribosomal RNA (225 nucleotides) under Bacillus subtilis. RNAcentral's name for it is "partial 16S ribosomal RNA". It matches the Rfam family "Bacterial small subunit ribosomal RNA", at positions 1 to 221 of the family's 1533-position model. The record is from RNAcentral. Lineage: Bacteria; Bacillati; Bacillota; Bacilli; Caryophanales; Bacillaceae.